CUCCACCUUUUCUAAGCGCAGGAACCUCUCACUCCCCUGGAGCGCACCUUCAGGGCUUAAGGUCCCCGGGGUCACCUAAGCUUCAGCCAGUAACUGAUUUUGGUACUCCCCGCCUUCCUAGGGAAAACCAGCAGACGCGCGAAGCGUCGGGCCCACCCGGCGGCGCCGCAGGCCGUGCACCGCCACCCCCGGACCCUCCCCCGCAGGUGUGGAUUCUGCAAUGCUGCACAGAAACCUACUGCAGCCUCAGACCAACAGCAGCAGCAGCAGCGGCGGCGGCGGCAGCAGCAGCAGCAGCAUUAGCAGCAGCAGCUUCUCUCAAUGCUGAGUAUUGAAUACAGAUAAUCAUGAGGCCCAAGACCCUAAGGAACAGUGCAGCCAGGAGUCGGAAGGAGCCUGGGUUUCUGAAUCAUCACAUGGAGGGGAGCUGUCUUCAGCUGGGAGAGCUGUCUUCAGUUGGAUACUGGGAGGAAGAAAGGGAGCUGGUUAGGAAGCAAACUUGAGUUUCCCAUGCUCUGUGGCUGAGCAAGUCACUUCACCAUUCUCAGGAUGGAAGUGGGGAUGGAGGUGGCAUCGGCCUCAUUUGAACCACAUGGACUAAGAGGGGCUAUGGGAGUAUUCCCCAAAGGAAGACUGAGGGGCGUUACUAGAAAAUGGGAGAAUGGAAGCAGAGUGGGCAAAACCAACAGAUGUUCCCUAUAGUAAAUAAAAAAUUUGGACAAUUAUUAGUGAGCAAGUACUUAUAACAUAUAUGGCACAUGGGAUUGUGACUCACCAGUGUGUUAGCACAAUAUGGUCAAAAACCUCUGAUCCAAUUCAACCUACUCAUCUUAACGAUUUUAUCAGCAUUUAAUAAGUUUGUUUUGGCCAUCAUGUGUUAUAGUUUUGUUUGUGGUUUUGACACCUCAUUAGAGGUUUCAUCAGUGUAAGGAGCCAACCUAAGAGCUCUUCUCACAAGUUUCCCAAGAGAGAAAUUGCCCCUCCAAAUGUGAGGAGUCUCACUUUAUAUAGAUAGCAUCCACACUUCUUGCAGUGGAAAACAAACCUUAUAAAAUGUAAUACGUUUGGUUUCCUAACUUUUUCAUGACCCUGGGGUGGUAGAAGGAAGUGCAAGUUUUAUCACUUGGAUUUAGAGACAAGGAAAUUGAAAUGGAGAGAGAAUUGGGCUCACAUGCAGGCAGCAUGUCUAGCUGCCUCCAUCGUGUGAUCUGAGGCACCCCAUGAGGCCUAUGAUUACUGUAAACCUCUAAAAUAAAUAAAAAAUAAAACAAUCUCUGCCACUGAAGUGCUUCUUAAUGAGAUGUGUGUAGUUUAAUGGGAUCAAGGCAUUGGAUCACUUGAAGGACAAUGUAUAAUUAAUGCGUUUUUACAAGUUGGUUCAAUUCAAAAAAUACUUAUUGAGGAUCUACUACUAGUUCUAUCACUGAGGAUGUUUUGGUUACAAGUACAGGAAUACCUUGAAUAUAUUGCAGGUUCAGCUCCAGAUCACCGCAAUAAAGUGAAUAUUGCAAUAAAGCUAGUCACAUGAAUUUUUUGGUUUCCCAGUGCAUACAA
Molecule: long non-coding RNA, 1554 nt
Filed under: Homo sapiens (human)
Lineage: Eukaryota; Metazoa; Chordata; Mammalia; Primates; Hominidae
Description: HSALNT0359948
Source: RNAcentral